GGCCCGUUGGUCUAGGGACAUGAUUCUCGCUUAGGGUGCGAGAGGUUCCGGGUUCAAAUCCCGGACGGGGCCA
Non-coding RNA from Ciona savignyi (Pacific transparent sea squirt), 73 nucleotides. NCBI's taxonomy places the organism in Eukaryota, Metazoa, Chordata, Ascidiacea, Phlebobranchia, Cionidae. The record is from Rfam.